Amphiprion ocellaris (clown anemonefish) is the source of this 3026-nucleotide RNA transcript. It is a transcript of the gene named septin 6, with no coding region annotated. The transcript is spliced from 11 exons. Lineage: Eukaryota; Metazoa; Chordata; Actinopteri; Pomacentridae. The record is from RefSeq and is a predicted model, not a curated record.
CUAGUAGUGGUAGUGGUAUCAGUGGUACAUUCCCACUAGGCCAUCUCUCGGUGUUACGUUAACGGUGCUGCUUCCUUUGCUACUCAGAGCAGCAGAGGGUUCGUCCUCCGGCUAACAGCUAACACCAUGGCGUCAACUGAGAUAGCAAGGCAAGCGGGUGAAGGAGCACGUGCCGUCCCUCUGGCGGGCCACGUUGGCUUUGACAGCAUGCCUGACCAGCUGGUCAACAAGUCUGUCAACCACGGAUUCUGCUUCAACAUCCUCUGUGUUGGUGAGACGGGUCUUGGCAAGUCCACUCUAAUGGACACACUGUUCAACACCAAGUUUGAGGGUGAGCCCACUCAGCACAACCAGCCAGGAGUCACGCUCAAGUCCAACACCUAUGAACUCCAGGAGAGCAACGUCCGCCUCAAACUCACUGUUGUCAACACCGUGGGCUUUGGAGACCAGAUCAAUAAAGAAGACAGUUACAAGUCGAUUGUGGAGUUUAUUGACGCCCAGUUUGAAGCAUAUCUACAGGAAGAGCUGAAGAUUAAGCGCACGCUACACAGCUACCACGACACCCGCAUCCACGCUUGCCUGUACUUCAUCGCUCCAACGGGACACUCGCUCAAAUCCCUGGACUUGGUCACCAUGAAAAAACUUGAUAGCAAGGUCAAUAUUAUCCCAAUCAUUGCCAAGUCGGACGCCAUCUCCAAGAGCGAGCUGGCCAAGUUCAAAAUCAAAAUCACCAGUGAACUGGUCAGCAACGGCGUGCAGAUUUACCAGUUUCCUACUGAUGAUGAAUCUGUGGCAGAGAUCAACUCCACCAUGAAUAGCCAUUUGCCAUUUGCUGUGGUGGGGAGUACAGAGGAAGUGAAGAUUGGGAACAAGAUGGUGAAGGCCCGGCAGUACCCCUGGGGGACAGUGCAGGUGGAAAAUGAGAAUCACUGUGACUUUGUCAAACUGCGAGAAAUGCUGAUCAGAGUGAACAUGGAGGACCUGCGAGAACAGACACACACACGUCAUUAUGAGCUCUACCGCCGCUGCAAGCUGGAGGAGAUGGGCUUUAAGGACACAGACCCUGACAGCAAGCCCUUCAGUCUGCAGGAGACAUAUGAAGCUAAGAGGAACGAGUUCAUGGGUGAGCUGCAGAAGAAGGAGGAAGAAAUGAGGCAAAUGUUUGUCCAGAGAGUUAAAGAGAAGGAGGCUGAGCUCAAAGAAGCGGAAAAAGAGCUGCAUGAGAAGUUUGACCGUUUGAAGAAGCUCCACCAGGAUGAGAAAAAGAAACUGGAGGAAAAGAAGAAAUCCUUGGAUGACGAGCUCAACACUUUCAAACAAAAAAAGACUGCUGCAGAGCUCUUGCAGAACCAAGCCCAACAGGCAGGGGGCUCCACCACACUUAAGAGGGACAAAGAGAGGAAAAACUGAUGCGACUCCGUGCCUGUUUAGAAAAGGAAGACGACACUUGCACUGAGAAGCUAAGGAUUCCUGUAGAAAAGUGCUCCCUUGUGGCCAUCCUGCUGUGAAUGAGUUCCCACCCCCAUCAUCCUUUACAGUACCCUUCCUCUUCCUCACCCAAAACCCCAUAAUUCAAUCCUCCACAUGCCCCCUCCCCCUCUCCUCCCUCUGUGGAAGACGCUGGGCAUUGCUAUCAGUUUGACAUCACUUUUAUUUGCUGAAUGAUGCUUGUCUGUUUUGUGGGUCGUACAAGCGAUUAUUCAGCUUUGUCUUUUUAUGCAAAUUUACAAGAUGCAUUCCAUAUUUGUUUUAUAUUCAGUGGUUCUUUGCAUGUUGUGAGCUUUUUUAAAAUAUUAACAUACAUGACUACUGCUGUGAUGGGCAGAAAUGUAUUAAGGCUAAAGAGAAACAGACAUCCAACAGGGGGACCCCAGUGUGCAUGUAGGGUGUUUGAUCUGCAGUAGAUUACAGAGAAGAAAGGAUUCAAAGCUUUCAAAAUGAAUGUCCGAUUAAAAGGCCGCAGUCAAAGUAGUGCCUUUACAAUCUCCAUCUAAGAGCAGAUUCUAAAAUAGAUAAUCAUUAACAAAAGUUCCAGUUGAAGAAUAACCUAGACUGACUUAGUAGUCAGUCAUUGAAUUGGUGUUUGGUGAGUUUGUUGUUAGUUUAACGGUUCAGUCCUUAAGUUUUUAAUUCUGGCUGGCUUUGCAACACGUGGCUACAGUUUUACCAGCGAGUGUGUUUUUAUAUUACAGGAAACAUUGACUGAGCAGCUACUUUAGUUUUAGCAUUGUGUGUCUGUUUAUUUAGCAGCCGAACAAACUUUUUCAUUUCAUUUUUUUAAGUCAGAAAUGUUUUCCAUCUGAUUUAUAUCUUGUACAGAUGGUUAGAAGUUAAAAUGCUGAUUUGUCAGAUUAUUUUUGAUCUACAUUCACUAUUUAUGCUAAUUAUUGACCUGAAGAACAGUUUCCUUCACAAUAAAAGCUAACCUGUGAUUUUUCUAAUUGCAUGCUUUUAAUGUGAAACAGCAACAAUUCAAAAGAUUGUUAAUACAUUAACUGAAUUACAAGUCAAUUACAGAAUAAAAAUACAUUAGAUGCUCAAAAUCAAUGCAUUCAAACAAAAAUAGGUUUUGCUUGUAUGAAAUCUUAAAGAUCAUAACUUCAAAAGUGGUUUUUGUUAUUGCCUCAGCCGAGUAGACUUUAGACUUGGAAAAAUAACUAAGCUGCAGAUUUAAUUUACUUCCCCUUGCUGAUGUUGUUUCACUUUAUCCUGAUGCAUGAGUAGAUGUGAGCCUAAUCUCUUUGCCACUUCUCUCAUACCUCAUUCAUUGUCAUGUGUUAUGUGCAUACUUGUAUUAGCUUUCACAUUUGCACUUUGUUUUAUACCCAAAUGUGAUGUUUUAUAUAUUAAUGUUGUCAGUGCAAUUGUAACUUUCUUUUUAUUUUACUUACUAUGAAGGCACAUUUAAAAGUCAGUCACCAUGAUGUCCAAUGUCCUGCAGGGACCAGUGUUGUUUGUAUCAGUGUUUCACAUAAAAGAAAAAUUCUCAAAGGAAAAUAAAGGCCAAUUUUUCACCAAAUAUUAAA